Molecule: non-coding RNA, 1323 nt
Organism: Odocoileus virginianus texanus
Lineage: Eukaryota; Metazoa; Chordata; Mammalia; Artiodactyla; Cervidae
Source: RefSeq, a predicted model, not a curated record
GUUACCCCUGGACCUUUACUGGUCCCACUUUGCCAUUGGUUGGUGCUGCAGUGGCCCUGCCUUCAAGUAACCAACUGUCAGUGAGAGACCGUUAGUGGUCCUGCUCAGCCAUUGGUCAGUGCCACAGUGGGCCCUGCCCCCAAGCGACCAACUGUCAACGAGAGACCGUUAGUGGUCCUGCUGAGCCAUUGGUUGGUACUGCAGUGGGCCCCGCCCACAAACCACCAACUGUCAAAGAGCAACCCUUAAUGAGGUAAUUCAGCCAAUGGUUGGUAGAAUGGUGGUCUUCAGGUGGAAAGUGAGUGUGUGAAAUGAAAUGAACAAGCUGCCCAUGAGGACCCAAGGGAUACUCAGCCUGAAAGGGAUAUAUGUGGGCAUCAUGACAUCAAAUUCAGUUGUUCACUCAGAUGCCGUUAUUACUUAUUUCCUAUUUAAGGAUAACUGAAUCAGAGAGGUGCAGUGACUUAGACUAGUGGUCCUCAACCAUGACUGAAUUCUCAAAACAGUUUUCAAAUGUCAAGGCUCAGCCCCAUCCCGUAUUAAUUCGGGAUCAUUGGAGAGGUGAGUCCCAGGCAUUGAUGUUUUAAAAUUUUUUUCUUCGGAUUCUAAUACGCAACCAAAAUGAAGAACCACGGACUUAAAUUUCUGCCAAAGCAUCGCGCCAAAGAUCUGUUUUCACUUAAGACCCAUCUGCCCAUGAGAACCACCUGGAGGAGGCAGGAACAGUUGAGGGUACCCCUACUGCCAGAUAUUUCUAAUGAGCAGUCAGGGUUGAGAAUCACUGCUUUGAGAUAUUUUGCCAGCAAUAUUGCUGUUUAUAAAUCUGUGUUUUCUAAAAGGCUUGGAUAUAUAUAUAUUUUUAAAUGUAUCAUUGUCUUUCUGAAGGCAGUGACAACCUUUGUCUGUAGAUUAGCUUUACAAAUCCAACACCCAAAUGGUAGCAUUUGCUCAUGUUAGAGGGAUAGGAAGGAAAGGAGAACUUUGAUCAACCACCUGGGAUGCCACUGAUUUGUCUCUGAUCUUGAAAGUGGAAAUCCCAAGAGCAGCCGUGAAUUAUAGAUCUGGGCAGGGCUCCCAAAUCGUUUGUGGAUCAGCCUUUGUGAUGGCCGCCUUGUAACUAGGUCUUCAGUGUUUUCUCCUGUGUGUUUAUAUUUGCAAAAAUACACAUAUCCAUAAAUGACAGCACUGUCCUUCAGCCUUCAGUUCAGAUGUGCAGCUGAAUGAGGGAUGCUAAAGAGAUAAAUCAACGCAACAAAAUUCUCCAGCGUUGCUGGAGAGCAGUGGUUUAAACCAGGUUUCAGCGGGAAGGAUCCUGUGUGAGGG